AGGUGCAGGAGGAGCCUCAAGCCAGCACCGCGAUUCAAUGUGAUCAUGGCUGAUUAUCCACAAUCAGUACCCCGUUCCUGCCUUCUCCCCAUAUCCCUUGAUUCCGCUCCCCCUCAGAGCUCUAUCAAAGUCUCUUUUGAAUGCGUCCAAUGAAUCGGCCUCCACUGCCUUCUGAGGCAGAGAAUUCCACAAAUACACAAUCUCUUGGGUGUAAAUGUUA
Molecule: long non-coding RNA, 220 nt
Organism: Amblyraja radiata (thorny skate)
Lineage: Eukaryota; Metazoa; Chordata; Chondrichthyes; Rajiformes; Rajidae
Exons: 3
Source: RefSeq, a predicted model, not a curated record